AGCGGUAUCAUCGCUUCUGUCCCAUAAGCUAAGUUUAAAGGGGAUUCACCAGUUGGUAUGCGGAGAGUCGUUCGAUACGCCCAUAAGAUCGAAUAUAAUUCUUCUACUCAGAGGCCUUUGACUUCAUUCAGUCAGAUUUUUAGCCCGUGUAGGAUUGUUCGGUUGGUUACUUCUACCUCAGCGUUUGACUGUGGAUGACCGACCGACGUGAGUUUGUGCGUAAUAUG
Molecule: long non-coding RNA, 227 nt
Filed under: Elaeis guineensis (African oil palm)
Lineage: Eukaryota; Viridiplantae; Streptophyta; Magnoliopsida; Arecales; Arecaceae
Description: long non-coding RNA (EGUI_LNC006786)
Source: RNAcentral